RNAcentral lists this ribosomal RNA (521 nucleotides) under uncultured bacterium. RNAcentral describes it as "bacterial SSU rRNA". It matches the Rfam family "Bacterial small subunit ribosomal RNA", at positions 25 to 518 of the family's 1533-position model. The record is from RNAcentral.
CAGGACGAACGCUGGCGGCGUGCCUAAUACAUGCAAGUCGAACGGUCUUUCUAUGGAAGCUUGCUUCCACUGAGAAGAUAGUGGCGAACGGGUGAGUAACACGUGGGUAACCUGCCCAUAAGAGGGGGAUAACAUCCGGAAACGGGUGCUAAUACCGCAUAGUUUUCUUGAUCGCAUGAUCGGGAAAGGAAGGACGGCCUUUGUGCUGUCGCUUAUGGAUGGACCCGCGGCGUAUUAGUUAGUUGGUGAGGUAACGGCUCACCAAGACGAUGAUACGUAGCCGACCUGAGAGGGUGAUCGGCCACAUUGGGACUGAGACACGGCCCAAACUCCUACGGGAGGCAGCAGUAGGGAAUCUUCCGCAAUGGACGAAAGUCUGACGGAGCAACGCCGCGUGAGUGAAGAAAAGGUUUUCGGAUCGUAAAACUCUGUUGUCAGAGAAGAACAAGUUGGAGAGUAACUGCUCCAGCCUUGACGGUAUCUGACCAGAAAGCCACGGCUAACUACGUGCCAGCCGCAGC